The sequence is a small RNA, 298 nucleotides long. It matches the Rfam family "5' ureB small RNA". The record is from Rfam.
CGUCGUCGCACUGCUGGGGGCAGAUGAAGUGGAUGUGCGUGUCGACGCCGCCGGCCGUGACGACGAGCUUCUCGCCCGCGAUGGCCUCCGUCGUGACGCCGACGGUCAUGCCCGGCGUGACGCCGUCCAUGACGUCCGGGUUGCCCGCCUUGCCGACGCCGACGAUGCGGUUGCCCUUGAGGCCGAUGUCGCAUUUCACGACGCCGAGGACCGCGUCGACGACGAGCGCGUUCGUGAUGACCGUGUCGAGGGCGUCCGCGGCCGCGCAGCCCGUCUGCUGGCCCAUGCCCUCGCGGAG